Long non-coding RNA from Zonotrichia leucophrys gambelii, 1005 nucleotides. RefSeq lists it as uncharacterized. The record is from RefSeq and is a predicted model, not a curated record. NCBI's taxonomy places the organism in Eukaryota, Metazoa, Chordata, Aves, Passeriformes, Passerellidae. The transcript has 3 exons.
AGAGGGAUUUGCAAUCAUUACGAGUCACUUUCCAUUUUGACUUGUAGCCCAAACAAUUGCACACCAGUGCGAGGCUUCGAUAAAAGCUGCUCACUGCAGAUAAGAGUGACCCCCAUUUACGAGCAGGCACUUGACAGGGUACCAGAUGACAUUUUUAUUAAUAAACCAGAGAAAUCAACAUGAUACACAUUAAAUGGAUUAAAAAGCUGGGUAAAUUAUGGAGUUUAAAAUGAAAUUUUCUACAGACAUAAAACAGAUUUCACAGGAUGUUACAGGUCAUGAAAUGCAGCCCUUUUCUAAACCCCUGUGCUCAGAUCACAAGCUACUGCUGCACACAAAUUCCUCAGUCUAUCCUCUGCAAGGGUGGCAUUUCACCCAACGCUGAGCCCCUCAGCAUCCUGAGGGCUUGAGAUAAGAUUGUUAUUAUUGUUGUUUUAAACACAAGCAUGCUGCAUCAUGUCACUUAAAAAAUGCUGUAUAGAUGUUAUACCACAUGGGAAAGCAGACUGUUUAAAAACAGAGAUUUGCUGUAUUCCAGUUCAAAAGCAAGAACUUAAUUUAUAUUUUUUCCAUAGCCUGUAGGUAGCCAUGGGCUACAAUUUGUAGGGAAUGUGCACUUACUGGCCAAAACUUCAGAAGUGUUCACUGCCCAGCCCCUUUCAAGCAGCCAUAUAAGAGAACAGGCACUUUUGGGCCCCAUAUUAGUUCCUGAGCUCUUGCAUCUCCUGUCCUUGGCACCUUCUAUGCAGAAGCAGGUUCUGUGCUGCAGCUUGAGGAGCUGGUGGCCUCUGGAGAAGAUGCAUGAAUCUGCUUUGCAGGAAAUGAAAGGGAGGGGAGGAUCCCUUAAACAUUGAUGAGCUGAACUUUCUGCUUUAUGACUGGAGUAAUUUAGUUAUGAUUCAGGUCAUAGAUGGUCAGUUUUUGUUUCCUACUGUACUGGCAUUGUGCAACAUGCAGUUCAGACCUUGUUUCAUUUUGGAAGAGUAAGCAAAUUAUGUGAAUAGU